This 1090-nucleotide ribosomal RNA is filed under the name Klebsiella pneumoniae. RNAcentral's name for it is "bacterial SSU rRNA". It matches the Rfam family "Bacterial small subunit ribosomal RNA", at positions 54 to 1137 of the family's 1533-position model. The record is from RNAcentral. Lineage: Bacteria; Pseudomonadati; Pseudomonadota; Gammaproteobacteria; Enterobacterales; Enterobacteriaceae.
CAUGCAGUCGUGCGGUAUCACAGAAAGCUUGCUCUCGGGUGACGAGCGGCGGACGGGUGAGUAAUGUCUGGGAAACUGCCUGAUGGAGGGGGAUAACUACUGGAAACGGUAGCUAAUACCGCAUAACGUCGCAAGACCAAAGUGGGGGACCUUCGGGCCUCAUGCCAUCAGAUGUGCCCAGAUGGGAUUAGCUAGUAGGUGGGGUAACGGCUCACCUAGGCGACGAUCCCUAGCUGGUCUGAGAGGAUGACCAGCCACACUGGAACUGAGACACGGUCCAGACUCCUACGGGAGGCAGCAGUGGGGAAUAUUGCACAAUGGGCGCAAGCCUGAUGCAGCCAUGCCGCGUGUGUGAAGAAGGCCUUCGGGUUGUAAAGCACUUUCAGCGGGGAGGAAGGCGAUAAGGUUAAUAACCUUGUCGAUUGACGUUACCCGCAGAAGAAGCACCGGCUAACUCCGUGCCAGCAGCCGCGGUAAUACGGAGGGUGCAAGCGUUAAUCGGAAUUACUGGGCGUAAAGCGCACGCAGGCGGUCUGUCAAGUCGGAUGUGAAAUCCCCGGGCUCAACCUGGGAACUGCAUUCGAAACUGGCAGGCUAGAGUCUUGUAGAGGGGGGUAGAAUUCCAGGUGUAGCGGUGAAAUGCGUAGAGAUCUGGAGGAAUACCGGUGGCGAAGGCGGCCCCCUGGACAAAGACUGACGCUCAGGUGCGAAAGCGUGGGGAGCAAACAGGAUUAGAUACCCUGGUAGUCCACGCCGUAAACGAUGUCGAUUUGGAGGUUGUGCCCUUGAGGCGUGGCUUCCGGAGCUAACGCGUUAAAUCGACCGCCUGGGGAGUACGGCCGCAAGGUUAAAACUCAAAUGAAUUGACGGGGGCCCGCACAAGCGGUGGAGCAUGUGGUUUAAUUCGAUGCAACGCGAAGAACCUUACCUGGUCUUGACAUCCACAGAACUUAGCAGAGAUGCUUUGGUGCCUUCGGGAACUGUGAGACAGGUGCUGCAUGGCUGUCGUCAGCUCGUGUUGUGAAAUGUUGGAUUAAGUCCCGCAACGAGCGCAUCCCUUAUCCUUUGUUGCCAGCGGUUCGGCCGGGAA